This is a long non-coding RNA of Homo sapiens (human), 2177 nucleotides long. Ensembl annotates it as WASP family homolog 2, pseudogene. Its record names the gene WASH2P. The record is from Ensembl. Lineage: Eukaryota; Metazoa; Chordata; Mammalia; Primates; Hominidae.
GAGACGCAGGAAAGCGGGUCAAUGUGUAGGGCUGGAGGGCAGGGGCGGGCCCUGGGCCUGGGCUGGGGGUCCUGCCCCGGGGCGCACCCAGGGCGAGGGCUGCCCGGAGGAGCCGAGGCUGGCGGACAGCUUGGCCCUGAGCUUGAGGGGAAGGCAGCGAUGGGACAAAGGACGGAGGUCUAGGAAGAGGGUCUGCAGAGCAGAAAGCACGGGUAGGGGCGGCCUGACGCUCGGAAGACAACGGAUGGGAGCCGUGUGCACGUCGGGAGCUCGGAGUGAGCGCACCAUGACUCCUGUGAGGAUGCAGCACUCCCUGGCAGGUCAGACCUAUGCCGUGCCCCUCAUCCAGCCAGACCUGCGGUGAGAGGAGGCCGUCCAGCAGAUGGCAGAUGCCCUGCAGUACCUGCAGAAGGUCUCUGGAGACAUCUUCAGCAGGUAGAGCAGAGCCGGAGCCAGGUGCAGGCCAUUGGAGAGAAGGUCUCCUUGGCCCAGGCCAAGAUUGAGAAGAUCAAGGGCAGCAAGAAGGCCAUCAAGGUGUUCUCCAGUGCCAAGUACCCUGCUCCAGAGCGCCUGCAGGAAUAUGGCUCCAUCUUCACGGGCGCCCAGGACCCUGGCCUGCAGAGACGCCCCCGCCACAGGAUCCAGAGCAAGCACCGCCCCCUGGACGAGCGGGCCCUGCAGGAGAAGCUGAAGGACUUUCCUGUGUGCGUGAGCACCAAGCCGGAGCCCGAGGACGAUGCAGAAGAGGGACUUGGGGGUCUUCCCAGCAACAUCAGCUCUGUCAGCUCCUUGCUGCUCUUCAACACCACCUAGAACCUGUAUGGCCAGAAGGCAGGGCCGAGGGGUGUGGGCGGGAGGCCCGGCCUGGCUUAGUGGGGACCCAGGGCAUCAGACACAGGUACAAGAAGUAUGUCUUCCUGGACCCCCUGGCUGGUGCUGUAACAAAGACCCAUGUGAUGCUGGGGGCAGAGACAGAGGAGAAGCUGUUUGAUGCCCCCUUGUCCAUCAGCAAGAGAGAGCAGCUGGAACAGCAGGUCCCUGAGAACUACUUCUAUGUGCCAGACCUGGGCCAGGUGCCUGAGAUUGAUGUUCCAUCCUACCUGCCUGACCUGCCCGGCAUUGCCAACGACCUCAUGUACAUUGCCGACCUGGGCCCCGGCAUUGCCCCCUCUGCCCCUGGCACCAUUCCAGAACUGCCCACCUUCCACACUGAGGUAGCCGAGCCUCUCAAGACCUACAAGAUGGGGUACUAACACCACCCCCACCGCCCCCACCACCACCCCCAGCUCCUGAGGUGCUGGCCAGUGCACCCCCACUCCCACCCUCAACCGCGGCCCCUGUAGGCCAAGGCGCCAGGCAGGACGACAGCAGCAGCAGCGCGUCUCCUUCAGUCCAGGGAGCUCCCAGGGAAGUGGUCGACCCCUCCGGUGGCCGGGCCACUCUGCUAGAGUCCAUCCGCCAAGCUGGGGGCAUCGGCAAGGCCAAGCUGCGCAGCAUGAAGGAGCGAAAGCUGGAGAAGAAGAAGCAGAAGGAGCAGGAGCAAGUGAGAGCCACGAGCCAAGGUGGGCACUUGAUGUCGGAUCUCUUCAACAAGCUGGUCAUGAGGCGCAAGGGUAGGAGGCAGGGCCGCUGCCCGCCCUGGGCCGGCACAUUGUAAUUCUGUCCUGCCUUUUUCUUCCUGUAUUUAAGUCUCCGGGGGCUGGGGGAACCAGGGUUUCCCACCAACCACCCUCACUCAGCCUUUUCCCUCCAGGCAUCUCUGGGAAAGGACCUGGGGCUGGUGAGGGGCCCGGAGGAGCCUUUGCCCGUGUGUCAGACUCCAUCCCUCCUCUGCCGCCACCGCAGCAGCCACAGGCAGAGGAGGACGAGGAUGACUGGGAAUCCUAGGGGGCUCCAUGACACCUUCCCCCCCAGACCCAGACUUGGGCCGUUGCUCUGACAUGGACACAGCCAGGACAAGCUGCUCAGACCUGCUUCCCUGGGAGGGGGUGACGGAACCAGCACUGUGUGGAGACCAGCUUCAAGGAGCGGAAGGCUGGCUUGAGGCCACACAGCUGGGGCGGGGACUUCUGUCUGCCUGUACUUCAUGGGGGGACGGCUCCACCCAGCCUGCGCCACUGUGUUCUUCUCUUAAGAGGCUUCCAGAGAAAACGGCACACCAAUCAAUAAAGAACUGA